AUGACCUCGUUGCUCAUCUUGAUGCUUGGGGUUCUCCUGUCUCUGAGAGGAACUGGAGCCCAGUUUGUGACUCAGCCUGAUGUCCACGUCACUGUCUCUGAAGAGGCCCCUCUGGAGCUGAGGUGCAACUACUCAUCUUCUGUUCCACCAUAUCUCUUUUGGUAUAUUCAACACCCAGACCAAGGCCUCCAGCUUCUCCUGAAGUACACAAUAGGAAACAGUUUUGUUUCGGGCAUUAAAGGUUUCGAGGCUGAAUUUAGGAAGACUGAAAACUCCUUUCACUUGAAGAAGCCAUCAGCCCAUUGGAGUGACUCGGCUGAGUACUUCUGUGCUCUGAGUGACACAGUGCUUGGGGCUGCAGGCAAGCCAAACACAAACUACCUGAGUCAUUGUAGCUUAAAAGACUCAGCAUCUCAGCAUGUUCUGUGA
This is a non-coding RNA of Orycteropus afer afer, 429 nucleotides long. NCBI's taxonomy places the organism in Eukaryota, Metazoa, Chordata, Mammalia, Tubulidentata, Orycteropodidae. The record is from the annotation of a RefSeq genome assembly.